This 944-nucleotide long non-coding RNA is filed under the name Medicago truncatula (barrel medic). Its description in RNAcentral is "long non-coding RNA (MTRU_LNC007025)". Lineage: Eukaryota; Viridiplantae; Streptophyta; Magnoliopsida; Fabales; Fabaceae. The record is from RNAcentral.
UUUGGUCAUUUUGUAAGUAAGGGUAAUUUAGUAAUUCCAUGGUGAUGAUUAUUUUUAGUGUUUCAAGUGAGAACCAUUAUUUUACUAAGUUACUAGUGUAGUAAUUAGUUGUGAGCCAGUGAGUGGUCGUUAUUAUUAUUUACCGUUAAGUGAGUAGAAACAUUUUGUAAUUGGUUUAGUAAAUGGGUUAAGCCCAUUAAGACAUUAAGGGUUAAGCCCAAUUGAGAGGAGACUAUAUAAGUUCUAGUCUUUAGAGAAAAAUAGGUUUUCAUUUCAUUUCAUAAGAAUUUGAGAGAGGUAGAGAGAGAAAGUUCAAGACAAGUUGCAAAAGGGUUAGAAGGGAAAAAGUUUGAAGAACCAAGACGGGAUAGAGAUUCUAGGAGCUAAAUUAAAGUUUUUGCUAGAAUUAUUGCUUAUUGAGGUAAGUGGGUUAGAUUUCAAUCAUAAUCUCUUAGUUGUAGUUUCUACCCUAAUUCUUUGCAUAAGUGCUUAAUUGAAAUAAGUGAUUAUUUUGAAUUUAAUUGAUGAAAUUCGUGCUUAUGCUUUGAUGUGAUGUUUGUGUAUAUGAAUUUGUUGAUAAUCAAGUUGUUGAUGAUGAAAUUACAUGCUCAAUAUAUGUUUAUAUGUAUACUUUGUUAAUUUUGCUCAAAUUGGCAUAUAUUAGUGUUGUUGUUGUUAAUUGUGAUGAAUUCAUGUUUAAAUGAAGUUGUUUUUGAAUUAGAUAUGUUGUUGUUGUUGUUGAUUUGUACCAUGGGUAUUCCAUUUUGUGAAGUUGUAGUUUAAAUUGGUGAAGUUGAGUUAAGUGGUUCAUUUGGAGGACCAAAAUGAACUUUUGAUAUAUAAGGUUGUUGACUGAAAUUUUGAUGUUGUUGGAUGAACUGAACCUGGAAGAAUUUCUGUUUUCAUGUUGUGGUUGUUUUAGUUGAGUCGUUUGGGAGAAAACG